RNAcentral lists this ribosomal RNA (562 nucleotides) under Nigronia serricornis. RNAcentral's name for it is "partial 16S ribosomal RNA". It matches the Rfam family "Bacterial large subunit ribosomal RNA", at positions 1783 to 2619 of the family's 2925-position model. The record is from RNAcentral. Lineage: Eukaryota; Metazoa; Arthropoda; Insecta; Megaloptera; Corydalidae.
GGACCAGGCCGCUUGUUUAUCAAAAACAUGUCUUUUUGAUUAUAAUUUAAAGUCUAACCUGCCCACUGAAUAUUUUGAAGGGCCGCGGUAUUUUGACUGUGCAAAGGUAGCAUAAUCAUUAGUCUUUUAAUUGGAGGCUUGUAUGAAUGGUUGGAUGAGGUAUUAACUGUCUCAAUUUAAUAAAUAAUAGAAUUUUAUUUUUAAGUUAAAAAGCUUAAAUUUAAUUAAAAGACGAGAAGACCCUAUAGAUCUUUAUAUUUAAAUUUGUAAUAAUUUUUUAGAAUAAAUUUAUUUUUAUUAAUUAAAGUAUUAAAUUGGGGUGAUUAAAAAAUUUGUAAAACUUUUUUUGUAUAUAAACAGUGAUAUUUGAAUAAUUGAUCCAUUUUUUGUGAUUAUAAGAUUAAGUUACCUUAGGGAUAACAGCGUAAUUUUUUUGGAGAGUUCAUAUCGAUAAAAAAGAUUGCGACCUCGAUGUUGAAUUAAAGGUUAAUUUUAGGUGUAGAAGUUUAAAAUUUGGGUCUGUUCGACCAUUAAAUCUUUACAUGAUCUGAGUUCAAACCGG